Molecule: ribosomal RNA, 469 nt
Filed under: uncultured bacterium
Lineage: Bacteria
Description: partial 16S ribosomal RNA
Rfam family: Bacterial small subunit ribosomal RNA
Source: RNAcentral
GACGAACGCUGGCGGCGUGCUUAACACAUGCAAGUCGAACGGAAAGGCCCUGCUUGCAGGGUGCUCGAGUGGCGAACGGGUGAGUAACACGUGGGUGAUCUGCCCCUUACUUUGGGAUAAGCCUGGGAAACUGGGUCUAAUACUGGAUAGGACCAUGCUGUAGGUGGUGUGGUGGAAAGAUUAGUUUCGGUAAGGGAUGAGCUCGCGGCCUAUCAGCUUGUUGGUGGGGCAAUGGCCUACCAAGGCGUCGACGGGUAGCCGGCCUGAGAGGGUGGACGGCCACAUUGGGACUGAGAUACGGCCCAGACUCCUACGGGAGGCAGCAGUGGGGAAUAUUGCACAAUGGGCGCAAGCCUGAUGCAGCGACGCCGCGUGGGGGAUGACGGCCUUCGGGUUGUAAACUCCUUUCAGCCAUGACGAAGCCCUUGUGGUGACGGUAGUGGUAGAAGAAGCACCGGCUAACUACGUG